UGACUGCGUACCUUUUGUAUAAUGGGUCAGCGACUUAUAUUCUGUAGCAAGGUUAACCGUAUAGGGGAGCCGAAGGGAAACCGAGUCUUAACUGGGCGUUAAGUUGCAGGGUAUAGACCCGAAACCCGGUGAUCUAGCCAUGGGCAGGUUGAAGGUUGGGUAACACUAACUGGAGGACCGAACCGACUAAUGUUGAAAAAUUAGCGGAUGACUUGUGGCUGGGGGUGAAAGGCCAAUCAAACCGGGAGAUAGCUGGUUCUCCCCGAAAGCUAUUUAGGUAGCGCCUCGUGAACUCAUCUUCGGGGGUAGAGCACUGUUUCGGCUAGGGGGUCAUCCCGACUUACCAACCCGAUGCAAACUGCGAAUACCGAAGAAUGUUAUCACGGGAGACACACGGCGGGUGCUAACGUCCGUCGUGAAGAGGGAAACAACCCAGACCGCCAGCUAAGGUCCCAAAGUCACAGUUAAGUGGGAAACGAUGUGGGAAGGCUCAGACAGCCAGGAUGUUGGCUUAGAAGCAGCCAUCAUUUAAAGAAAGCGUAAUAGCUCACUGGUCGAGUCGGCCUGCGCGGAAGAUGUAACGGGGCUAAACUGUGCACCGAAGCUGCGGCAGCGACGCUUAUGCGUUGUUGGGUAGGGGAGCGUUCUGUAAGCCUGCGAAGGUGUCCUGUGAGGGAUGCUGGAGGUAUCAGAAGUGCGAAUGCUGACAUAAGUAACGAUAA
Molecule: ribosomal RNA, 722 nt
Filed under: Salmonella enterica subsp. enterica serovar Kentucky
Lineage: Bacteria; Pseudomonadati; Pseudomonadota; Gammaproteobacteria; Enterobacterales; Enterobacteriaceae
Description: partial 23S ribosomal RNA
Rfam family: Bacterial large subunit ribosomal RNA
Source: RNAcentral